This 22-nucleotide ribosomal RNA is filed under the name Meconopsis racemosa. RNAcentral's name for it is "partial 28S ribosomal RNA". The record is from RNAcentral. Lineage: Eukaryota; Viridiplantae; Streptophyta; Magnoliopsida; Ranunculales; Papaveraceae.
AUAUCAAUAAGCGGGAGGAAAA